Molecule: ribosomal RNA, 481 nt
Filed under: uncultured bacterium
Lineage: Bacteria
Description: partial 16S ribosomal RNA
Rfam family: Bacterial small subunit ribosomal RNA
Source: RNAcentral
UUGAACGCUGGCGGCAGGCCUAACCCAUGCAAGUCGAGCGGAUGAAGGGAGCUUGCUCCUGGAUUCAGCGGCGGACGGGUGAGUAAUGCCUAGGAAUCUGCCUGGUAGUGGGGGAUAACGUCCGGAAACGGGCGCUAAUACCGCAUACGUCCUGAGGGAGAAAGUGGGGGAUCUUCGGACCUCACGCUAUCAGAUGAGCCUAGGUCGGAUUAGCUAGUUGGUGGGGUAAAGGCCUACCAAGGCGACGAUCCGUAACUGGUCUGAGAGGAUGAUCAGUCACACUGGAACUGAGACACGGUCCAGACUCCUACGGGAGGCAGCAGUGGGGAAUAUUGGACAAUGGGCGAAAGCCUGAUCCAGCCAUGCCGCGUGUGAAGAAGGUCUUCGGAUUGUAAAGCACUUUAAGUUGGGAGGAAGGGCAGUAAGUUAAUACCUUGCUGUUUUGACGUUACCAACAGAAUAAGCACCGGCUAACUUCGUG